RNAcentral lists this ribosomal RNA (378 nucleotides) under uncultured Bacillota bacterium. Its description in RNAcentral is "bacterial SSU rRNA". It matches the Rfam family "Bacterial small subunit ribosomal RNA", at positions 1126 to 1501 of the family's 1533-position model. The record is from RNAcentral. Lineage: Bacteria; Bacillati; Bacillota.
UAAAGCUGGGCACUCAAGAGAGACUGCCGUCGACAAGACGGAGGAAGGUGGGGAUGACGUCAAAGUCAUCAUGCCCCUUAUGUCCUGGGCUACACACGUACUACAAUGGGCGUAAACAGAGGGAUGCAAGACCGCGAGGUGGAGCCAAUCCCAUAAAUACGCUCUCAGUUCGGAUCGGAGGCUGCAACUCGCCUCCGUGAAGUCGGAAUCGCUAGUAAUCGCAGAUCAGCAUGCUGCGGUGAAUACGUUCCCGGGCCUUGUACACACCGCCCGUCACACCACGAAAGUUGGAAACACCCGAAGCCGGUGGGCUAACCGCAAGGGAGCAGCCGUCGAAGGUGGGGCCGAUGAUUGGGGUGAAGUCGUAACAAGGUAACC